GAGUGAUAGAGAGAGGGGAGAUGUUUUUCUUGUGUUUAACCCUCAGUAUAGUUUUUCCCAAAACGCAGCACAUGCCGAACCGUAACGAAACCGUGACACAAACCGAACCGUGAAUGCCGCGGAGAGGAAAGAGAUCUCAGGCUUAACAAAUGCGUCGGCGAAACGAAGACCUUGAAGAUGAACAGACCAGCCCCUCCAAGAUUAACAAGGUUUUAUGCCACUGAGCUACAAGAAAAGAAGAGCAGAAGCCACAGCAGCAUGAAGGACGACGAUAGGAGUAGACUGGCAGCUUCUGGGAGGACACCGGCAGCAGCACCAGCGAUAGACAGGAUACAGUGAGGAUUAGUGUAGCAGCUCCAGGGAGGCAGAAGAGUUUGGAGACAAUAGAAGUCCUGUCUGGAUGCGACUCUGCAAUAUAUCGUCCAAAGCUAAGUGUUUAAACAUUGAGCUUCAAUCACUGUACUACUGCACAUCAUAACCACAUUUGUAGAAAAAUGUUAAUCCUAAUCUAAUUUUGGUUUUGAUGUUUUUCAGCAAUUGUGCAGUUGAAGAUCAAGUGUGCUACAACACUGAUGAUGACAAUCUGACUACCAGCAUCUGUGGAUGGGACAAACUGUGUAUAGCACUGAAGACCAAAGCAAGGACAAUGCUGAAGACAGAAGAAGCAGAGAAAUAAGCAUACUAAAGCAGGAUAUCCAGCCUUUACGACGAAUCAGAUCAAGUGGCUAGACGGCGGGAGAUGCUUCCUUCAUCUAAUAAUUGGAUGACUAAUUAAUCUUAAUAUGUUUAUAAAUUGUUUGACCAUAUUACAUAAUUGGUUUGAUUUCUAAAUAUAUUAAUUUCACAUAUUAAGUAAGUAAAAUGAAUGUGUUCUUGAAAUGUGUGCGUCGUGCCAGAGGAGGAUGGGUCCCCCCUGCUGAGUCUGGUUCCUCUCAAGGUUUUUUACCUCCUAACUUUAUGGAGUUUUUUCCUUGCCACCGUCGCCAUUGGCUUGCUCACUGGGGGUGUUGUGCCAAAUCCCGUCUCUCUCUCGGGUCCCUUCCAACCAGGGUUUUCAAAACGGACGUUUUUAAUCAAAUAAAAAUUAUUAAAUAACCAGGGCUGCACAAUUAACUGCACAAUUAAUUGUGUAACAAUUAAUCAUGUUAUGGCUUAGUGACAAUCAAAACGUGUAUAUAUAUAUAUAUAUAUAUAUAUAUAUAUAUACGUAUCUAAAAAUAUAAUAUGAUAUUUAUUUAAAAAUCUAUAUGUAUCUAUAUUUAUAUGCAUGAUCAUGUAUAUUAUAGUAAAUAUAUCUUUAUUUAUUUAUGUAUAAUCAUCUAUAUAUAUAUUCUGAUGUAUUUGCAGGGUGAAGUUUGUCCAUUUUAUAAUCUGGUGUUUUCAGUGUCAAACUACAAAAAAAUAAUUAAAUACUGAAGGUUUGAAAAAAUGCCAUUAUUUGAAAAUUAAGAAUUUAUACCAAAUAAUAUUAGUAUUGUGAAAAUAAAUUUAAAAAAUCAUAUUUUAUUUUACAGUACAGUCGUCUUAUUGCAACAGUAAUGUUUCUGUCUUAAUUUUUUAUCAUUUUAAUAGCGGUAAUACAAUAAAUAUAGUAUUAAUUUUUUUAAUGACAUUACAAAAAAUAAUAUUUACUGUUAGCCAAUUAAAAGCUAUAGGAUCUAGCUGUGUGGCUGGGAUCGGGAUUGGUGGGGCGAGAUUUGGCAUAACAGGUGCUUUCCUUAAACUUUUUAAUAAACAUUUUAGGUGAAUU
Molecule: long non-coding RNA, 1750 nt
Organism: Onychostoma macrolepis
Lineage: Eukaryota; Metazoa; Chordata; Actinopteri; Cypriniformes; Cyprinidae
Exons: 7
Source: RefSeq, a predicted model, not a curated record